CAUCCCACCCCCAGCCAAAGCCCCACCACGCGCACGCGCACGCGGCGAAGCCAGAGACCCGGGCUGGGCCGGCAAGCGCCCGCGCCUGCCGAGGGUCCCCUGCUCCCUCCAGGGGGCAGGGCACGAGGGGGGCGGGGCGAUCGCGAGGCCCCGCCUUGCCCUUGGCAGCGCUGGGCCAUGCGGAGGCCCACGUUCAAAAGAAGAGGCUGUUCUAAGAAAGACUACCGAGUAAUCAAUCACCUCCUCAGAGAAAGUCUGCUCAGAUGUCACUCCACAAGUCUCCAGGAGUCUCUGGGAUCUUCAUCCAUGGGCUAAAGGAGAGCUGCAGAAGAAUCCAACAUCCCAGCCUUCUGCAAUUAGGCAAGAGGUAUUUUUCCUGAGGACCACAUACCCUAAAAGAGCCUGUCUCAAAGACAAGGGACCAGCUCUGUGAACAUGGCAAGUAAUAACAGACAGAAAACGUGAGGGGAAGGGAGAGACCGGGAUUUUGAAAUUCUGUUUCCUGAAUGCCAUCUUACCAGGCACACGAAAGAAUAAAAUUAAGGAAUCAAGAGCCAA
Macaca mulatta (Rhesus monkey) is the source of this 558-nucleotide non-coding RNA. The record is from RefSeq and is a predicted model, not a curated record. Lineage: Eukaryota; Metazoa; Chordata; Mammalia; Primates; Cercopithecidae.